AAAUUAUGGCAUUAAAGGAUCUUCAGCACAAUUCUUCAAAGGUGAUCAUUUCAGAUGAAGAUAUCAAAGAAGAAAUAAAGAAGAUGACAUCCCAGAACAACCUUGGCAAAAGACUUCGACAAGAAAGAUUUAAGAGUUCGAACAGGCCACUAAACCAUGGAGGACCCUCUGCAUAUCAUACUCUAAAGUAUUUUGAAAUUAAUACCCCAAAUCCUUGUGAGAAACCUGACCUAUCAGCAGUAAGCACAGAUCCAUAUGAUGCCAUUUGCUUUAAAGAGAGUACAACUGACCUCCAAUCCUGUGCCUAAGGAAUUGCUUGGGCUAUGUUUGAUUUCCACGGAAUUUAAUUUAUAUUAUUUAAAGCUAAUAUUGUUGCAAUUAAUUGUGCCUGCAAUACUGAGUGUUGCUGCAGACCAGAUCUCAAUGCUAGUUAGUUGCCUCUUGGUCCUAUUUGCAAUUUUUCUUGACCCCUAUCUCUUUUAAGCCUUUUGUCCUCAACUUUUAAUUCUCCCUUCAUUGUCUCCUGCCUUUGCUGGACAUGCCCAUUGUCUCUGUCAUUAUCUUGUCCUCCUUUGCACUUAUCAAUGGCAUUGUCAUUUAUCUUGCAGUCCCUUAGCAUUUCUCAGUACAUAUUCAGUUCAAUUGCAGUGUGUUAACCACUUAAACAUCCUUUUUUUUAUUCCCCACCUUUAUUUUCAGUUUUAUCCUCUCCUAUUCAUGGAUGGGUCUCCAUUCUCCAUCUUUUAUGUGUCACUCUCUAGAAUGUUUUCAAUUUUGCAUAUUCCAAAUCACUCAGCUGCCCUUCUUGUCCCAGAACCCACUUGCAUGUAGUUACCUCAAGCUUUUUUGCAUUGCUGGUAAUUGUGACCUUUCACAGAUUUAAAUUGUCAAUCAUCUAGGCCACAUUCACAUUAGCCUUCGCUGGAUCUUUGCUCCAGAUAAUUUUAAUUUUUAGGGAAGAGUUAUCCCUCAAUCAUCAUCGUUACAAUCAUCAAAAUAGUAUUGUUGGUCACUAUUACAUUGGAGUUUGCUGUUUGUAAAUAGGCUGCUACAUUUUCUACUACGGUACCUCCCUUUCAAAAAUUCUUCAUUGGCUGUGAAAUUCCUGGGGCAUCCUAAAUGCAUGUAAAAGGCACUACAUAAAUACAUAUAUUUGUCUCUACAGAUCUCCCAAUCCUCCCUGGGUCUGCAGUCUUCUUCAGCCUUUCACAGCCUCUGCUUUAUAUUCCUUUAGUUUUUCUUUUCUUCAUUUUAUUCUGUUGCUAUCACUUUCAGUGGCUUAGUCUUCAACUAUUUCAUUUUUAAAAUCUGGGACACCCUCAUUAAAAAUCAUCAUUUUUUCACCUAAUCUUAAAAGCUUCCUCAGAACCUAACUCCUUGAACCUGCAAUCACCCACAUACUAUCCUACUUCUGCCUACUUGCAAGCUUUCCUCUAUGAAGCGACUGAGAUAUUUUGUGUCACUAAAAGAACAAUAUGAAUGUAAAUUAUUAUUAUUGUUUUUGACUUUGGAUGUUUUCAUUUUCAAGCAUUUAUUUUUUUUAUCUUCAGCACCUUUCACACUCCAAAACAAUUUGUUUAAUCCUAAUUGUCUUUUUUGAUCUGCACGUGUGGAAUGCAUAAAAACCCAGGAGCUACAUGUAAUUUUAUUUUUUUCAUGGUGUGAAGGAACUAGUCAAAAAUCAUUCUGAUCACUCCAAGGUGUUUCUUAGCAGUUGUUUCAGUGAGCAGGACUGCACCCCACCCCACCCCCCCACCUCCCAUCCACACCCCAUCUGCAUGUUUA
This is a long non-coding RNA of Pristis pectinata (smalltooth sawfish), 1785 nucleotides long. RefSeq lists it as uncharacterized. The record is from RefSeq and is a predicted model, not a curated record. The transcript is spliced from 3 exons. NCBI's taxonomy places the organism in Eukaryota, Metazoa, Chordata, Chondrichthyes, Rhinopristiformes, Pristidae.